GAUGAACGCUGGCGGCGUGCCUAAUACAUGCAAGUCGAGCGAACGGACGAGAAGCUUGCUUCUCUGAUGUUAGCGGCGGACGGGUGAGUAACACGUGGAUAACCUACCUAUAAGACUUGGAUAACUUCGGGAAACCGGAGCUAAUACCGGAUAAUAUUUUGAACCGCAUGGUUCAAAAGUGAAAGACGGUCUUGCUGUCACUUAUAGAUGGAUCCGCGCUGCAUUAGCUAGUUGGUAAGGUAACGGCUUACCAAGGCAACGAUGCAUAGCCGACCUGAGAGGGUGAUCGGCCACACUGGAACUGAGACACGGUCCAGACUCCUACGGGAGGCAGCAGUAGGGAAUCUUGCGAAAUGGGCGAAAGACUGAAGGAGCAACGCCGCGUGAGUGAUGAAGGUCUGCGGAUCGUAAAACUCUGUUAUUAGGGAAGAACAUAUGUGUAAGUAACUGUGCACAUCGUGACGGUACCUAAUCAGAAAGCCACGGCUAACUACGUG
RNAcentral lists this ribosomal RNA (497 nucleotides) under uncultured bacterium. Its description in RNAcentral is "partial 16S ribosomal RNA". It matches the Rfam family "Bacterial small subunit ribosomal RNA", at positions 28 to 507 of the family's 1533-position model. The record is from RNAcentral.